GUGGGGAAUUUUGGACAAUGGGGGGAACCCUGAUCCAGCCAUGCCGCGUGUGUGAAGAAGGCCUUUUGGUUGUAAAGCACUUUAAGCGAGGAGGAGGCUACCGAGAUUAAUACUCUUGGAUAGUGGACGUUACUCGCAGAAUAAGCACCGGCUAACUCUGUGCCAGCAGCCGCGGUAAUACAGAGGGUGCAAGCGUUAAUCGGAUUUACUGGGCGUAAAGCGCGCGUAGGUGGCCAAUUAAGUCAAAUGUGAAAUCCCCGAGCUUAACUUGGGAAUUGCAUUCGAUACUGGUUGGCUAGAGUAUGGGAGAGGAUGGUAGAAUUCCAGGUGUAGCGGUGAAAUGCGUAGAGAUCUGGAGGAAUACCGAUGGCGAAGGCAGCCAUCUGGCCUAAUACUGACACUGAGGUGCGAAAGCAUGGGGAGCAAACAGGAUUAGAAACCCGUGUAGUCC
RNAcentral lists this ribosomal RNA (451 nucleotides) under uncultured bacterium. RNAcentral's name for it is "partial 16S ribosomal RNA". It matches the Rfam family "Bacterial small subunit ribosomal RNA", at positions 354 to 796 of the family's 1533-position model. The record is from RNAcentral.